CCGGGAAACCGGGGCUAAUACCGGAUGGUUGUUUGAACCGCAUGGUUCAAACAUAAAAGGUGGCUUCGGCUACCACUUACAGAUGGACCCGCGGCGCAUUAGCUAGUUGGUGAGGUAACGGCUCACCAAGGCAACGAUGCGUAGCCGACCUGAGAGGGUGAUCGGCCACACUGGGACUGAGACACGGCCCAGACUCCUACGGGAGGCAGCAGUAGGGAAUCUUCCGCAAUGGACGAAAGUCUGACGGAGCAACGCCGCGUGAGUGAUGAAGGUUUUCGGAUCGUAAAGCUCUGUUGUUAGGGAAGAACAAGUACCGUUCGAAUAGGGCGGUACCUUGACGGUACCUAACCAGAAAGCCACGGCUAACUACGUGCCAGCAGCCGCGGUAAUACGUAGGUGGCAAGCGUUGUCCGGAAUUAUUGGGCGUAAAGGGCUCGCAGGCGGUUUCUUAAGUCUGAUGUGAAAGCCCCCGGCUCAACCGGGGAGGGUCAUUGGAAACUGGGGAACUUGAGUGCAGAAGAGGAGAGUGGAAUUCCACGUGUAGCGGUGAAAUGCGUAGAGAUGUGGAGGAACACCAGUGGCGAAGGCGACUCUCUGGUCUGUAACUGACGCUGAGGAGCGAAAGCGUGGGAGCGAACAGGAUUAGAUACCCUGGUAGUCCACGCCGUAACGAUGAGUGCUAAGUGUUAGGGGGUUUCCGCCCCU
RNAcentral lists this ribosomal RNA (705 nucleotides) under Bacillus subtilis. RNAcentral's name for it is "bacterial SSU rRNA". It matches the Rfam family "Bacterial small subunit ribosomal RNA", at positions 149 to 841 of the family's 1533-position model. The record is from RNAcentral. Lineage: Bacteria; Bacillati; Bacillota; Bacilli; Caryophanales; Bacillaceae.